AUUAGCCAUGCAUGUCUCAGUACAAGCCUAAUUAAGGUGAAACCGCGAAAGGCUCAUUAAAUCAGUUAUGGUUCCUUAGAUCGUACCCACAUUUACUUGGAUAACUGUGGUAAUUCUAGAGCUAAUACAUGCCAAUAGAGCUCUGCCCGGAUGACGGAACGAGUGCUUUUAUUAGAUCAAAACCAAUCGGUGGCGGGUUCGCUCGUCAUCGCCCAGCUUGGUGACUCUGAAUAACUUUACGCUGAUCGCACGGUCUUGCACCGGCGACGCAUCUUUCAAAUGUCUGCCUUAUCAACUGUCGAUGGUAGGUUCUGCGCCUACCAUGGUUGUAACGGGUAACGGGGAAUCAGGGUUCGAUUCCGGAGAGGGAGCCUGAGAAACGGCUACCACAUCCAAGGAAGGCAGCAGGCGCGCAAAUUACCCACUCCCGGCACGGGGAGGUAGUGACGAAAAAUAACGAUACGGGACUCAUCCGAGGCCCCGUAAUCGGAAUGAGUACACUCUAAACCCUUUAACGAGGAUCAAUUGGAGGGCAAGUCUGGUGCCAGCAGCCGCGGUAAUUCCAGCUCCAAUAGCGUAUAUUAAAGUUGUUGCGGUUAAAAAGCUCGUAGUCGGAUCUGUGUCUCGCGCCGCCGGUUCAUCGUCCGCGGUGUCAACUGGCGUGUCGUGAGACGUAUUGCCGGUGGGCUCAGCCCUUCGGGGCGGCCCAACUAAUCCCGCCGCGGUGCUCUUCGCUGAGUGUCGAGGUAGGCCGGCACGUUUACUUUGAACAAAUUAGAGUGCUUAAAGCAGGCUAAAACUUCGCCUGAAUAUUGUGUGCAUGGAAUAAUGGAAUAGGACCUCGGUUCUAUUUUGUUGGUUUUCGGAACCCCGAGGUAAUGAUUAAUAGGAACGGAUGGGGGCAUUCGUAUUGCGACGUUAGAGGUGAAAUUCUUGGAUCGUCGCAAGACGAACAGAAGCGAAAGCAUUUGCCAAAAACGUUUUCAUUGAUCAAGAACGAAAGUCAGAGGUU
Molecule: ribosomal RNA, 1012 nt
Filed under: Malachius prolongatus
Lineage: Eukaryota; Metazoa; Arthropoda; Insecta; Coleoptera; Melyridae
Description: SSU rRNA
Rfam family: Eukaryotic small subunit ribosomal RNA
Source: RNAcentral